GACGAACCGUGCGAACGUUAUUCGGAAUCACUGGGCUUAAAGGGCGCGUAGGCGGGCCGAAAAGUCAGGGGUGAAAUCCUCCAGCCCAACUGGAGAAGCGCCUUUGAUACUGUCGGCCUCGAGGGGUGCAGGGGCAUGCGGAACUCAGGGUGGAGCGGUGAAAUGCGUAGAUAUCCUGAGGAACACCGGUGGCGAAAGCGGCGUGCUGGACACCUUCUGACGCUGAGGCGCGAAAGCCAGGGGAGCGAACGGG
RNAcentral lists this ribosomal RNA (253 nucleotides) under uncultured bacterium. RNAcentral's name for it is "partial 16S ribosomal RNA". It matches the Rfam family "Bacterial small subunit ribosomal RNA", at positions 524 to 776 of the family's 1533-position model. The record is from RNAcentral.